Molecule: ribosomal RNA, 406 nt
Filed under: uncultured bacterium
Lineage: Bacteria
Description: partial 16S ribosomal RNA
Rfam family: Bacterial small subunit ribosomal RNA
Source: RNAcentral
AUUGAACGCUGGCGGCAGGCCUAACCCAUGCAAGUCGAGCGAGCGGCGGACGGGUGAGUAAUGUCUGGGAAACUGCCUGAUGGAGGGGGAUAACUACUGGAAACGGUAGCUAAUACCGCAUACCAUCAGAUGUGCCCAGAUUGGAUUAGCUAGUUGGUGGGGUAACGGCUCACCUAGGCGACGGUGCCUAGCUGGUCUGAGAGGAUGAACAGCAACAUUGGAUCUGAGACACGGUCAAGACUCCUACGGGAGGCAGUAGUGGGGAAUAGUGCACAAUGGGCGCACGCGUGAUACAGGCAUGCCGCGUGUGUGAAGAAGGCAUUCGGGUUGUAAAGCACUUUCCGCGGGGAGGCGUUACACGCAGUAGACGCACCGGCUAACUCCGUGCCAGCAGCCGCGGUAAUAC